UAGGGAAUCUUCCACAAUGGACGCAAGUCUGAUGGAGCAACGCCGCGUGAGUGAAGAAGGGUUUCGGCUCGUAAAGCUCUGUUGUUAAAGAAGAACGUGGGUAAGAGUAACUGUUUACCCAGUGACGGUAUUUAACCAGAAAGCCACGGCUAACCACGUGCCAG
This 164-nucleotide ribosomal RNA is filed under the name uncultured bacterium. RNAcentral's name for it is "partial 16S ribosomal RNA". It matches the Rfam family "Bacterial small subunit ribosomal RNA", at positions 355 to 511 of the family's 1533-position model. The record is from RNAcentral.